This is a long non-coding RNA of Grus americana (Whooping crane), 5019 nucleotides long. RefSeq lists it as uncharacterized. NCBI's taxonomy places the organism in Eukaryota, Metazoa, Chordata, Aves, Gruiformes, Gruidae. The record is from RefSeq and is a predicted model, not a curated record. The transcript has 4 exons.
CCUUGACUUCAGCUAAUGACCACGUUGUCUUGAAGGAGGAGUGAUGCCUCUCCCAAGUUUCUCUGCUAGCGUCGUGAGAGAACUGAUCUGUGAGCUAUUCAGUGGUUACUUAUAUCAUUCUUGUGUUUCCAGCCAUGUGACUUGACCGCAAGGCUUUCAGAAGGUAAUCUGGGGAGAUUUUAUCAAAUGUAAAAUGUUCCUAGACAUUACUGUAGCCAUGAUGUAAUGAACCAAGGUUUUGUUCUUUAAAUUCCACUUUGCUGAAAAACCACAGGCCCCAAAAAAUUGUUCUAGAGAAGCUAGGGAGUUUUAAGAAGGAGGCUGAGAUCUUGUGCUGGGCUGAGCCAUUCUGUGCUGCAGUGCUAGGAGAAAGAGUUUCCGACUGAGUACUGUGUCGCUGGCUUGGUAAGGUCCAGACGGAACCUCUGAUACGGACAACAGCCUCUUCACAACAACCACUCCCUCCUUUCUGCCACUGAGGUGGGAGGUGUAGCCAGAGGAAACGCAGCACGGCCAGGCCUGCAUUGUACCUCACUACUCCGAGUUUGUUGCGUGUUUGGCGCUUUGGUAUUUGUUGUAAUUGUGGCUGUUGCUCUUUUUUGUGAAGACAAUUCCAGCCCAAAAUCUUGCCUCAAAAAAAGCCAAAAACGUGAUCCCCUCACGUAACACUGCUUUCUUAGUAUCACCCAUGCUGGAGCUGAGAACCUAGUUUGCAGUAUCUCAGUGCUUUGAAAGACCUUUAAAACCCUUUUUAGAAGGACAAUGAUUUCUGAGUCUGCGAAAGUCUUCCUGGCAUAUUUAUAUCUGCCAGACCAGGAUGAGACUGUCCAUGCUUUGAUGCUUUGGAUUUCAGUACCUGUUGAAAUCCCCUGAACAAAUGGUGCUAUUAAUUACGGGGCCUGGCUUUGAUGAAUGAUGCAUAGGGGACAACAUUUCAUUUUGUCCAGGGGGAGGUAAGCGGGACGGGGCGUUUCUGAGUGUUCAGUGAUGCAGGAGAGGUCCUGGGUGUUGCCUGAUCAAGGGGAAGUUGCUUCCUCUCUCUAGAGUGCUGUAAAGUCAGUGUCAAGUCACUGUGGCAUCUGGGUUAUGUCACCUUCUGAUGGGGCUACCUCUUCAGACGUCAGAUUUGCUCAGACAGAAACCAACUCAGUCCUUUACCUAAAAAAACUUUCAGAAUUACUCUAAGGGUUACAAAUAAUUUUGUCCUAAAUGGCUUCUGCCUGCCCGAAGGACUGCCCCGUCCCCAGGCCAUUUUAACACCGGAGCAAUGUGUUUGGGGCUCAGAUAAGUGAGACGGGGGGAGGCCGUGGGGUGUUCUCAGGGAGGGCCCCAGGAUCUUACCACCAUUUCUUUCCCCACAUCCUUUUGAAACUCCCAAAUCGGUGAACAGGAGUCUUGCAAAAGCUGUUUCUAUGACAAGAUUAUAAGAAAGGUUUGUUCCUGAAGUGGUGAAAAAAGCUUUUUCCGCAGCUUUGAUUUAGUAGCUAGCCAAGUUCAUUUCUUAUUUGUGUGUAUCAUUGUGUUUUGGUGCUGGGAAGUCAUGUUUAUGCCAAAAAAUUGAAUUAGUUUUUGGAGCACCUGAAACUUCUGUACACCACUUGUCAUUUCAGUCUAAUUAAUUACAGCCAUCUGAGAACAUCUCUAGCUGGUUUUCACAAAGGGGCUUCUGGACGAGGUAAUGCAGUGUUAGAAAACUUUGCUGGACAGGAGGGUUGCUCUCGGUAGCAGGACUACUAGGUAGUAGGUUUGUGAGAUACCACUUGACGUGACUGGUGGAAAAUGAGACCAUUCAAAAGGGAGAGGAGGAGAAGGGAAGUCAGAAGACGGUGCCAUUGAAACUAAGAAUAAUGGGAGGAGAGUAUUCACUCCGUUUAAAGCACCCAAAAUGACAAGGAACAAAUGGGAGUGCAUGAUGUUCUCUUGUUGUUGUGGCGAAGACGAGCCUUAGCAAAGACAGAAGGCGUCAUUGCUUUUAACCGAGUUUAGGUGUUUACACUGUAGAUGUUUACAUGAUUUGGUCAUCCAUAUUCCAGUUGCGUGAUUCACUUCAGGAUAAUCUGAGUCGCACCUUGGAAAUUUCUUUUUCUUAUUAUUGAUUGUAAAGGUUUCCAAAUGAUACCGGCUCCAGCGAAGAAACCUAUACUGCAUCCAUCUGCCUUUGUCAGAAUUAGACCCAAGGUGUCAGGGAAAGAGAGUAAGUGUCAGGAUUCGCGUGAGGGAGACCUCACUGCAGUAAUAGGGCAAAAGCUUGUUCAACAGAUCUGCAGGUACAGGGAAGAAGUAAGUUUCGGGAAGGCAGGUAGAUCUCAGCUGGAGAAGCAAAGGCACAUUCGGGGAAGGAGAAGUUCAAGGGUGAAGGUCAAGGAACAGAAAAUGCACAAUAGGAGAACAGAACUGGGAAAGAGAAACUGUUUUCAUGUCUGUUCUAGUUUAGAACAAGCACUUGGUUAUUCAAAACUAGAAAAAGAAGUUCAAUCACCCCAGAAUAAACCAGUGCUGAUGACAUGUGGCUGCGAGAUGGGAAACCGAAGCUCAGGUCUCUACCUUAUUCAUAUCAUGGACUAGGACCAGAGUCUCCCACACUGGGUCCGAGCGUACCAGCUCAGGUACAAUGGACGGCUGGGAGGGGCUUUUGUAGCUUGUCCUCCCGGAAGCAUUCCGGUUUGUACACAUGAUAAAAUACUUGUAAGUAACGUGAAACUCUGGGUACCUCACAUUACACACAGUAACCCUAAAAACAACAUGUGGAGUGGCAGAAGACAUUCCAUGCAGGUCUUGAGAAUGUACUCUUUUUGAAACUCUUACAUUCUUUUUGUGAGAAAUUUCAGUUUAACAUAAUUGACUUUCCCAAUGAAAUCACACUGAAAAAUUUCCCGAACAGCUCUCAUAAGGAGGCUUUGGAGUCAGGAGGACCAGAAGAACCCUUCACGUAAUAAGUUUAAAACAAAUAAGAGGAAAUAAGUUGUGACAUGAGUGGCUAAAUAGAUUGCAGAAGUCAUUGCCAAGGAAUACAAUGGCCAAAGGCACAAAUAUGUUCAAAGAACAUUUAGAUAUGAAAAUGGAGGGUGGCUCCGUUGAUGGCCAUGUUAGCCACCUGAUGUAGGAAGUCUUUAAGCAGAUUACUAAAAUGAUAGCCAGGUAUAACAGGGAAAGAGCAGUCACAGGAGGACCUGGGGUUUGUACUCUCCCUUAAGCAGUCUGCCCGUGCCUUCUGGUAGAGAUCAGGCACUGAGCGAGAUUGAUUUUUGGUCUGACCCCGGUAUGGCAUUUCUUACGCUUGUUCUAAGUACUUCUGCAUCUUCUUGCCCUUGUGACGGUACCGGAAGAAUACACUGGGUUUUGGUCAGCGUAGUGCGUAUGCCUGCUUUUGUGUCCUGUCUGCGUACGUCGGCCUGUGGGAUAUGUCUGUGAUGCAGCUACGUUUUAGUGGUCAGACACCGUUUACUACAAACACGUAAGAUUAAGAGGAUCUUAACCCCUGUGCCUUGUGUUUCACAGGGUGUGCGAAGGCCCAAACCAGGCAAUCUUGCCUUUGUUGGUGCUGCCCCAAUUCCAAAAAUACAGAGCAGGGCAUAAAUUCCAGAAAUGGGUUUUCCAAAUGGACUGCAAAGCUGAGAAUUAAACACAAGUGUGAACCCUCUUCCAGCUCCUUCUGUCAUUUGGGCAUGCUCGUGCCACGUGUCAGUACAAACUGUUGAGCCAUCUGGAAUGGGUUUAUGUGAGUCCGUGGGGUUUAGAUCAUUUUGCGUGGGAAAUCCCUCAGUACUCCGCUCAUUUCACUGACAGGCAGCUCAUGCCUCCGCAUGACAAAAUAGAGACAGACCCUUUGCAAAGCAUAAUGGAGGAGGAUGUUCUGACUGUGAUCCAAAAUUCUUCUCACAAUAACAUCAUCUGACUCGUUUAGCCCUCCAGAUGGGGCGGGCUCUUACGUCUGGCACAGAGAUAUCAUGUAUAAACAUCUAGAAACCAUUUUUUUAUUAGUUCAAGGCAAAACCUGCUCCCAUCCUCCUCGGUUUUACCUGUGUUUAAUUCCAGUGAUCCAGUUUCUGCAUGGCGUUAACCGUCACCACACUUGAGUCUACCCAGCUGAGGAUCCAUUCCAUACCCUUCAGCUGAAAGACGCCUGACUUAGCAGGAAAAGUUCCUCCGUCUGGUUCAGCGCGUGGUCGCACAGAGUUUUCCUGGCACAACUGAGUGGAAAGAGCACUUUGGCUUGGAGGGGAAAUGAGCAGCGGAGGGUGAAAGGUGUCUUGGCAUACACUCCAGUUCGUGUCCUUAUCUCACAGUCUCCAGCCGUCUUCAAAGGCUUUUCCAGCUUCUUGUGUUGUGCGAGUUCAAAAACCUGCAGCCCGCUGGUAUUGAAAAUGUGCGAAUGAACAAAAUAAUUGGAGUUGAAUGACAGUCUUUUUCUUCCGACUUGGAAAUCUGCUAGUUCGCUGCUGCUUUUCUUAAAGAUGAUCAUUGGCUGGUUAUGGAGUGAAUUGCUAAUGAAAUAGUCGGUUACGCUUACAUUUUUAAAAAAGAGAUGUGAGUCUGGGGAGACCCAAGGAAUUCUUCUCAAGUGAGAAACAGAUCCUCAUUGAAAUGGACGCCAGGGAGUUGGUCAGAUGAUCGGGGCAUUCUGGUACUCUGUAAAGGCAAGGAAAGAUGAGGGUAGAGCAAAAGAAGAUAAGAGUAGGUAAGCACCAGUAUCACAUACAACCUCGUAAAUGUGAAAUUUAAGCAGGCAAAUCUCCUUGCUUUUGAGUGAUCCCAUUCUUUGGAAGGAUUGUAACCUGCAAGGCACCAGGCAUAAGGUGUUGAGGGUGGGGGUAAAUACAUUAAUAGAAAGGGUUACAGAAGUGAUGACAUCAUGAAAUAGAUGGGGAAAGAGUUCCCGAGUGAAAAUUAAAUGAAGUCCAACAUGAACCAGUCUUCACUGUGGUUGGCAAAAUGUAAAGACAUAGAGAAUUAAAGAGACAUUGCUGGAUCAAGGAGUGCAUGUGCUUCCUUUCAGCUGCAAGUUAUUCCACGGGCUUU